Molecule: ribosomal RNA, 407 nt
Filed under: uncultured bacterium
Lineage: Bacteria
Description: partial 16S ribosomal RNA
Rfam family: Bacterial small subunit ribosomal RNA
Source: RNAcentral
AUUGUACGCUCGCGGCACGCCUUACACACGCAACUCGAGCGGAGCGGCGGACGGGUGCGUCAUGCCUAGGAACCUGCCUGGUAGCUGGGGCUAACGUCCGGAACGGGGCGCUAAUACCGCAUACUAUCAGAUGAGCCUAGGUCGGAUUAGCUAGUUGGUGGGGUAAAGGCCGACCAAGGCGACGAUCCGUAACUGGUCUGAGAGGAUGACCAGUCACACUGGGACUGAGACAUGUUCCAGACUCCUACGGGAGGCAGCAGUGGGGAAUCUUGGACAAUGGGCGGAAGCCUGAGCCAUCCAUACGGGGCGUGGUGUGAAGUCCUUGGGUUCGUGAAGCACGUUAUGUUGGGGGGCGUUAGCUGCAGAAUAGGCACCGGCUAACUACGUGCCAGCAGCCGCGGUAAUAC